Molecule: RNA transcript, 628 nt
Organism: Aegilops tauschii subsp. strangulata
Lineage: Eukaryota; Viridiplantae; Streptophyta; Magnoliopsida; Poales; Poaceae
Gene name: sulfiredoxin, chloroplastic/mitochondrial-like
Source: RefSeq, a predicted model, not a curated record
GGCCGCAAGAAAACGAAGCAGCAGCACAGCAGCACCAGCGCGACCACGAAUGGCGUCGACCUCUAGCUUGGAUUUGGGAAAGAUUGUGCCGCCGGCCGGCUUCCUCCACUGCCGCGCCGCCGUCCUCAGCGCCCCUGUUCUCUGGGGGAGGAGCGCGAGCGGGCGGUGCAGCCUCGCCGUCUCGGUCUCGUCCUCCAAUGGUAGAUCUUGGAGUUCAGUUCAACCAUAGUAAGAUGAGGUUCGAACCUGCGAGGAGCCGAAUCUUAGUAUUACCGCUCUUACCGAUUUCAUGGUCCAUUCUGAAGCCAUAGCGGUUCGGUUGAAUCCGGUGCAGCUGGGCUCUCCCCACUGAGUGACUCGGAGAAGAAAGGUCCUGUGGUGAUGGAGAUCCCGCUGGAAGAUAUCCGGAGGCCGCUAAUGCGAACGCGUGCUAAUGAUUCUGAUAAGGUGCAGGAGCUCAUGGACAGCAUCCGUGUCAUCAGCCUCCAAGUACCUGUGGGCUUCCUUUCCUUUAACAUUAAUUUUUCCAAAAUUAUUUUCUUUUAGCUCAUAAGAUAAAUUAUGUCAGAACUGGAAUUUUCUAAUGUGGAAUUGAGUACAUACAAAUAAAGUUAUAGAGUAGCUAAUA